This 265-nucleotide ribosomal RNA is filed under the name uncultured archaeon. RNAcentral's name for it is "partial 16S ribosomal RNA". It matches the Rfam family "Archaeal small subunit ribosomal RNA", at positions 717 to 982 of the family's 1478-position model. The record is from RNAcentral.
ACACGACUACAUUAGAUACCCGCGUAGUCCUAGCCGUAAACGAUACUCGCUAGGUGUCGGCCACGGUGCGACCGUUGUCGGUGCCGUAGGGAAGCCGUGAAGCGAGCCACCUGGGAAGUACGGCCGCAAGGCUGAAACUUAAAGGAAUUGGCGGGGGAGCACCACAACGGGUGGAGCUUGCGGUUUAAUUGGAUUCGACGCCGGAAAUCUUACCGGGACCGACAGCAACAUGAAGGCCAGGCUGAAGACUUUGCCGGAUUAGCUG